Molecule: ribosomal RNA, 428 nt
Filed under: uncultured bacterium
Lineage: Bacteria
Description: partial 16S ribosomal RNA
Rfam family: Bacterial small subunit ribosomal RNA
Source: RNAcentral
GUAGGGAAUAUUGGACAAUGGGGGCAACCCUGAUCCAGCGACGCCGCGUGAUUGAUGAAGGCCUUCGGGUCGUAAAGCUCUGUUGCAGGGGAAGAACACAAUGACGGUACCCUGCUAGAAAGGAUCGGCUAACUUCGUGCCAGCAGCCGCGGUAAGACGAGGGAUCCUAGCGUUGUUCGGAAUUAUUGGGCGUAAAGCGGGUGCAGGUGGCUUGGUAAGUCAGAUGUGAAAGCCUGGGGCUUAACCCCAGAAGUGCAUUUGAUACUGCUGAGCUUGAGUGCUGGAGAGGCUAUGAGAAUUCCUGGUGUAGUGGUGAAAUACGUAGAUAUCAGGAGGAAUACCGGAGGCGAAGGCGGAUAGCUGGCCAGACACUGACACUCAGACCCGAAAGCGUGGGGAUCAAACAGGAUUAGAAACCCUUGUAGUCC